GAUGAAGAACGCAGCGAAAUGCGAUAAGUAAUGUGAAUUGCAGAAUUCAGUGAAUCAACGAAUCUUUGAACGCACAUUGCGCCCGCCAGUAUUCUGGCGGGCAUGUCUGUUCGAGCGUCAUUUCAACCAUCAAGCCCCCGGCUUGUGUUGGGGACCUGCGGCUGCCGCAGGCCCUGAAAAGCAGUGGCGGGCUCGCUGUCACACCGAGCGUAGUAGCAUACAUCUCGCUCUGGGCGUGCUGCGGGUUCCGGCCGUUAAACCACCUUCAUAACCCAAGGUUGACCUCGGAUCAGGUAGGAAGACCCGCUGAACUUAAGCAUAUCAAUAAGCGGAGGA
This 336-nucleotide unclassified non-coding RNA is filed under the name soil metagenome. RNAcentral describes it as "partial contains 5.8S ribosomal RNA, internal transcribed spacer 2, and large subunit ribosomal RNA". The stretch from base 1 to 120 matches the Rfam family "5.8S ribosomal RNA", at positions 35 to 154 of the family's 154-position model. The record is from RNAcentral.